Molecule: ribosomal RNA, 310 nt
Filed under: uncultured bacterium
Lineage: Bacteria
Description: partial 16S ribosomal RNA
Rfam family: Bacterial small subunit ribosomal RNA
Source: RNAcentral
AAGAGACAGCAGUCGCCGCGGGAAUACGAAGGGUGCAAGCGUUAAUCGGAAUUACUGGGCGUAAAGCGUGCGUAGGCGGUUUGUUAAGUCUGUUGUGAAAUCCCCGGGCUCAACCUGGGAAUGGCAAUGGAUACUGGCAAGCUAGAGUGUGUCAGAGGAUGGUGGAAUUCCCGGUGUAGCUGUGAAAUGCGUAGAGAUCUGGAGGAAUACCGGUGGCGAAGGCGGCCCCCUGGACAAAGACUGACGCUCAGGUGCGAAAGCGUGGGGAGCUAACAGGAUUAGAUACCCGCGUAGUCCCUGUCUCUUAUAA